RNAcentral lists this ribosomal RNA (492 nucleotides) under uncultured bacterium. RNAcentral's name for it is "partial 16S ribosomal RNA". It matches the Rfam family "Bacterial small subunit ribosomal RNA", at positions 29 to 507 of the family's 1533-position model. The record is from RNAcentral.
AGUGAACGCUGGCGGUAGGCCUAACACAUGCAAGCCGAACGGCAGCACAGUAAGAGCUUGCUCUUACGGGUGGCGAGUGGCGGACGGGUGAGGAAUACAUCGGAAUCUACUUUUUCGUGGGGGAUAACGUAGGGAAACUUACGCUAAUACCGCAUACGACCUACGGGUGAAAGCAGGGGAUCUUCGGACCUUGCGCGAUUGAAUGAGCCGAUGUCGGAUUAGCUAGUUGGCGGGGUAAAGGCCCACCAAGGCGACGAUCCGUAGCUGGUCUGAGAGGAUGAUCAGCCACACUGGAACUGAGACACGGUCCAGACUCCUACGGGAGGCAGCAGUGGGGAAUAUUGGACAAUGGGCGCAAGCCUGAUCCAGCCAUACCGCGUGGGUGAAGAAGGCCUUCGGGUUGUAAAGCCCUUUUGCUGGGAAAGAAAAGCAGCAGGUUAAUACCCCGCUGUUCUGACGGUACCCAAAGAAUAAGCACCGGCUAACUUCGUG